This 253-nucleotide unclassified non-coding RNA is filed under the name uncultured Gammaproteobacteria bacterium. Its description in RNAcentral is "contains 16S-23S intergenic spacer region". It matches the Rfam family "Bacterial small subunit ribosomal RNA", at positions 524 to 776 of the family's 1533-position model. The record is from RNAcentral. Lineage: Bacteria; Pseudomonadati; Pseudomonadota; Gammaproteobacteria.
UACGGAGGGUGCAAGCGUUAAUCGGAAUUACUGGGCGUAAAGGGCACGUAGGCGGCUCGACGCGUUGGAUGUGAAAGCCCCAGGCUUAACCUGGGAGGGUCAUUCAAAACGGUCGAGCUAGAGUGUAGGAGAGGUAAGUGGAAUUUCCGGUGUAGCGGUGAAAUGCGUAGAUAUCGGAAAGAACAUCGGUGGCGAAGGCGGCUUACUGGUUUAACACUGACGCUGAGGUGCGAAGGCGUGGGGAGCAAACAGG